Brienomyrus brachyistius is the source of this 652-nucleotide long non-coding RNA. RefSeq lists it as uncharacterized. The transcript has 3 exons. Lineage: Eukaryota; Metazoa; Chordata; Actinopteri; Osteoglossiformes; Mormyridae. The record is from RefSeq and is a predicted model, not a curated record.
AAACAAUGCAGUACAUUUUGAACAGUAAUUCACAGGAGCAGGGAAUUACCUACAUGUCGAGAGCUCCUCUCCAAGCAGAGUAGGGGAUGUGGCCCAGCUGAAGUCCCCUCUGCUGCCACCUGCUGGCCCCCAAGGCUACUGCAUCACUUUCUGGUACCACAUGUUUGGUGCCACAGUUGGAAGACUAAGUUUAUACCUGCAAGAAACUCAGCCCCUACAGAGGACACUGAUGUGGAAGAGGCAGGGCAUGCAAAGCGACAUGUGGCAGAUGACCCAGAGUCAUGUGACCCUGCAGGAGGUCCAUCAGGUGGUGCGGAGGAACUCUCACGCAGGAAAUCUUAUGGUAAAUGUAUAUUCCAUUCUGAACUUAAAAUUAGCUGCAUCAAAAACGUUACGGUAGUUUGCAAACCCUACAGACUAUUUACAAGGUAAUAAAACUUACAUACAUGUGAAUAUGUGUGCAGAACAGAGAACAGAAAAUCUCCCUCCAUGCAGCUGACCAAAGUUGCCAACCCUGCAUUUAAUUUGGAAUGAGAAGUAAAAUUCAGUUUUCGACUGAAGCGGCUUAUCAUUCCUUUGCUUUGUUACUCUGACAAAUACAAAACGAAUGAAUAAACAUUAUAUGUGUCUCUAUUUGUGUCUUUUCUAAAUA